GCCAGACUCCUACGGGAGGCAGCAGUGGGGGAUAUUGCACAAUGGGGGGAACCCUGAUGCAGCGACGCCGCGUGGGUGAAGGAGCGUUUCGGCGCGUAAAGCCCUAUCGGCAGGGAAGAAGGAGGACGGUACCUGACUAAGAAGCCCCGGCUAACUACGUGCCAGCAGCCGUGGUAAUACGUAGGGAGCAAGCGUUAUCCGGAAUUAUUGGGUGUAAAGGGUGCGUAGACGGGAUAACAAGUUGGUUGUGAAACCCCUCGGCUCAACUGAGGAACUGCAACCAAAACUAUUAUUCUUGAGUGCAGGAGAGGAAAGUGGAAUUCCUAGUGUAGCGGUGAAAUGCGUAGAUAUUAGGAAGAACACCGGUGGCGAAGGCGACUUUCUGGACUGUAACUGACGUUGAGGCACGAAAGUGUGGGGAGCAAACAGGAUUAGAUACCCCUGUA
Molecule: ribosomal RNA, 446 nt
Filed under: uncultured bacterium
Lineage: Bacteria
Description: partial 16S ribosomal RNA
Rfam family: Bacterial small subunit ribosomal RNA
Source: RNAcentral